This 434-nucleotide ribosomal RNA is filed under the name uncultured soil bacterium. RNAcentral's name for it is "bacterial SSU rRNA". It matches the Rfam family "Bacterial small subunit ribosomal RNA", at positions 26 to 446 of the family's 1533-position model. The record is from RNAcentral.
AGAUUGAACGCUGGCGGCAGGCCUAACACAUGCAAGUCGAGCGGUAGAGAGGUGCUCGCAUCUCUUGAGAGCGGCGGACGGGUGAGUAAUGCCUAGGAAUCUGCCUAGUGGUGGGGGAUAACGUUCGGAAACGGACGCUAAUACCGCAUACGUCCUACGGGAGAAAGCGGGGGACCUUCGGGCCUCGCGCCAUUAGAUGAGCCUAGGUCGGAUUAGCUAGUUGGUGAGGUAAUGGCUCAACCGAAGGCGACGAUCCGUAACUGGUCUGAGAGGAUGACCAGUCACACUAGGAACUGAGACCACGGCCCAGACUCCGACGGGAGGCAGCGAGGUAGGGGAAUAGUUUGGAACGAAGUUGGGACGAAAGCCUAGAUCAGACAAGUGCCGCGUGAGUGAUGGAAGUCGUUAAGGUUGUAAGCUUACGUUUACCGGAU